UACGUAGGGGGCUAGCGUUGUCCGGAUUUAUUGGGCGUAAAGAGCGUGUAGGCGGCCAGGUAGGUCUGCUGUGAAAACUCGAGGCUUAACCUCGAGAUGUCGGCGGAAACCAUCUGGCUAGAGUCCGGAAGAGGAGAGUGGAAUUCCUGGUGUAGCGGUGAAAUGCGCAGAUAUCAGGAAGAACACCAGUGGCGAAGGCGGCUCUCUGGGACGGUACUGACGCUGAGACGCGAAAGCGUGGGGAGCGAACAGG
This 253-nucleotide ribosomal RNA is filed under the name uncultured bacterium. RNAcentral's name for it is "partial 16S ribosomal RNA". It matches the Rfam family "Bacterial small subunit ribosomal RNA", at positions 524 to 776 of the family's 1533-position model. The record is from RNAcentral.